Long non-coding RNA from Phoenix dactylifera (date palm), 4141 nucleotides. RefSeq lists it as uncharacterized. NCBI's taxonomy places the organism in Eukaryota, Viridiplantae, Streptophyta, Magnoliopsida, Arecales, Arecaceae. The record is from RefSeq and is a predicted model, not a curated record.
AGUUGCUAGUCCAAUUUAGUCCCCUACGAAGUCCUUUAAUUGUAUGACAUAACACACCACAUGGUGCUGAUAAUGGAAAAAUCAUCACAACAAGAUACGAAAUGCUACCAAUAAAUAUCUUGUCUUAGACAUAAUGGUCGAAUCUCAUGUACUAUUCUUAAGAUUAGUAUAUAUUAACUCUUGCAUCUAAAAAAGAAAAGCAGUCUCAUGAAAAGUUGCAUAUAGAAUAUCUUGCUUUAUGCAACAAUAGGGACUAGGGAGGCUGCUGUUCAUGAUGCUUGGCAACCUAGCAACUCAUGUCGAAGUUGAUCGAAAAAUUGGAGUUUAUGGCUACAAUAUUCAGGCCUUUCUCACCUCUUGCAACACACCAACCCGCCUUCCAGUUUCUUAUUCAUCAACUGCCACUUCAAUACAUUUCUAUCUUACAAAGCAUAGAUCAAGAGUUGAAAGUACACACUCGAGUUUCCAGGAUAGGGCUUCCAGUCACCUGUUAACCUUCCAUUCCUUGCUUGACAUUACCAAGUAGAUGGUGUUUGGAGGGGAAAAAGAGCAGAUCCUGGUGCUACAAAAGCUCAAUGCUAUUGGUAUAGAUCUCGACAGUUUAGAUGGCCAGCAUUGAAUGAAAGCUCAUGCAGAGCAUUCCUGAUGACGUGGAAGGUCUCUGUAGAAGAGGAGCAGCAGCAUGAAACAGGGCCAUGGAGUUAAAAAGAGGGAGAGAUAUGGGAGUAAGGCGAGAUGGCAGUAACAUUUAAAAGGCAAGUGUUUUUUUUUUUCUCAUCUUCUUUGGGGAGAGAGAGAGAGAGAGAGGUGUUAGGGAGAAGAGGGAAGUGUUUUUUUUCUCGUUUUCUCAUUUUCCAUGCUACCACCAUAAUGUGGACCGCAGAAGUUCAUUUAGUGCAAAAUAAAGAUAUUUAAUUGAUUCACUGGAGUUACAAAAUUAAUAAAUUCCUCUUCCCAAGGUUCUCUUCCUUGUUCAAAAGUCUAACCUUUGAAAUGUGGCAAUUGCUUGGUUAUGCUUGAUGGAACCUUCCUCUUUCCAAAGGUCCCCUCAGGGGCAGACAAGCUCUUUUAAUGGGCACUCUCAGAGUCACAGCUCUGAAAUUAGGACUCACAUGCUGCAUGUUAAAAAUAAUAACCAAUGCACAUGGCCUUCACUUCAAUCAAUGCCUCUUGCCCUUAAAAGCUCUACUAUAAAACCGCUUGAACUUUAGACAGGGGGAAGAGAAUAAGCUUUUCUUAUGUGCAGUUAACAGAGAUUAGAGAUCUUUCCUCCAUGGCUGAGCUCACCAAGCAGAUGAAGAGCAGCUUCAUCCCCGCAGCUGAAGGCAUCAAAGGUGGCAACAAUGGCAACCCUCAAGAUAAAGCCACCGAAGAUACAGAUAAAGCCAAGUUGAGAACUGUGCAGGAUAGAGGGAUCCAAGUAGCAGCGGUACGUGGCGCAAAGCUCCCAGCUCCAACAAAAGGACCUCCCCCACAGACUAAUUGAGUAGUAUGGAAGAAUGGGUCAUAUCAUUAGCGGCUUCCUCCUGAUCUUUUACUCUGGAAUCUGGUUGUUUCGUUUGCCGGGUUGCCUUAAGCAUGAAGACUUCAUACUGCUGUUUUUUUAUGUUACAAAAUGAUCAGUAUUUUAAAUCUUUGGUAGAGGAGUGUCUCAUAUCUGAAUAUUAGCUACGAAACAUGUUUUAAGCCAUUUACUGUCAUCUUUAAUAUGUAAUAAAGUGCAGUUAAUCGAUGCAAACAUAUAAAACAUGAGCAUUUGUGAUAAAAAGACACUGCUCUGUCUGUGCUCUAUAGGAUGCUUGCCUGCUUUUCAUUUGGUUGGAUUAAUCUUCUCUAAAGCCAUUAAUUAUUGUAGAUCUAAUCAACUUUUUGCAUGACAAGAUGUUCAUAUCUUCUCUAUUCUCUGUAGCUUGAGACCCCUCUUCUCUUUUCCUUUUGCUUUCUUUUGGUUCCCAUCUUUUGUAUAAUUUCACUCUAUCAAUGAAAUGGUUGGCUUCUUGCCACCCAGUUUCUUUGAAUCAAACAUACAGCAAGUUACAUUCUGUGAGGUGGUUGUGGCAAAUAUAUAUAUGUAGUUAAACAUAGCUCAAGCAUACGACAUACCUUGUCAAGCAAGCUGGAUUACAUGCUCCUGCUGCUACUCUGUGAAUCACAACCAGCUCUCCUGACACAUCUACACUGUAUUCCAGUAAGGUGGCAAGUAGAAGAACAACUGGUUUUCUGAAUUUAGGGAAUGUGAAGUUUGUGAUCAGAUCUGAUAAAGGGACAAGGUGGAUUCUAUGAGAUGGUAGUAACCUUAGUGCCAUCCACCUGCUUCAGGCAGUUAGCUGCUACAAGCUUGCAUGCUAGCCGAAAAUGAAUAAUAUUAAUAAUAACAAACAUAUGAACAUAUAUAUCUUUGCACUAGACAUAUAUAUAUAGACACACGCAUACACAUACACGCACACUAUCAAAUCUCAUACCAUCUUUUGGUGCACAAGCUAGACUGAUUGCUUCACAAGUAUUAGCUAGUCUAACAAGGCCAACACAAAACAUGUAUCAUCCUAACAACAUUAAAGACAAUGCAAGACCCUAUUUAAAUUGUUCCACCGAAUCCAAUGGAAGAAAGCAGUCCAUUUGCAUGCAUCUCAACCAAGGGAAGAAAAAUUGGAUUUAGAUAAUAUAAUGAGCCUAGACCUAACCACGGUCCGGUUCUAACCGAGGAACCGGAUCGGAACCGAACCGGAAAGAACCGGACCGGAACCGGAACCGUGUCUCACGGUUCUUAACCGAACCGGAACCUUGAGGAAUACGGUUCGGUUAAGGUUCCAGAUUUGAUGGAACCGAACCGGAGCCUAAUUUUUUUUAUUUAUAAUAAAAUAAAUUAGUUCCAAAUUUAUUAUUUUUUUAUAAUAUUAUCUAGUUGUAUUAUUAAAAUUUACUUUGAUAGUAAAUAAUAAAAUGAGGUACAAAUUAUCAUUUUGUAUUAAUUAUACAAUCUAUUUGUAUUUAUAAUUUUUUUCCAAAUUAAUUACACAAUCUAUUUUUUUUCAAAAUUUUAUAAUUUAUGUUGAAAAAUCGGAAUCGAAACUAUUUAGAACUGGAACCGGAACCGGCGGUUCUAGAACCAGAACCGAACGGACUAUUUUCGGUUACGGUUAAGGUUCUAGAUUUUUGUGAAACCGGAAUCGGCAGUUACAGAAUCGUGAUCAGAUCUAAAUGAGCCCCCUCUUAGGAGGAAUAUAAAGACUUCUAAAUUAUCCAUACCAGUUUGCGGAGAGAAUGCACAAAAGAAGCUAGUGGAAUGAUUUCAUCAAGAAGUAGGGCUCCUCCCAUCAAAAAGACACACAUGGAGUGUGGUACCACAAAGAUAAAGAGCCAUGGGAUGAUGGUGGUGAUCAGAACUGACCAAAUACAGUGCCUGCCUUUUUUUUUUUUACUUUACUUUUCUUUUAUAGUGCUUGUACUGUCUGCUGCUGACACACGACCAGACCUUCACACCUUUCCUUCGUGUGGUCUUCUUCACGCAACAGUGCAGUGCUCAUGGUCUCAAGCUUUUGUUUGAUUACUGUUAACCCACCAAAGCUAGUCUCUAUAUAAACCCAACUAAAUGGAGAGACCAUAUAGAAUAAGAGAAUAUAAAAAUCAUUACUGCAAAGAACGGACCAUUUGGUAAGCUCUCUCCAUGGCCGAGGUAGCUCAACAGCUGAAGGUUAAGCUCUCCAACCUUGUUCAACGCGUCACAAGCUUCAAAUUUGGCAGCUCCAAAGAAGAAAAAGAAAACUUGGGCGAAGGGGAUGCUAAAGUGGGAUCUACCAUAGUGCAGAGUAGAGCUGCUGAAAUUGAUGGUUCCGCAAGAACUCCACCCGUAUCCGGAGGCCCUCCGCCGAAGCACAACUGACGAGCAUUUGGUUUCAGCAAGAUGGUUGCAAUGUCUCAUGCUAACUUUGAUGCUUUGGGUCUUAGCUUAUUAGAUGUUAAGUAAGAUAUGCUUUUCGUUUGCUUUGUUUUCGUUUUUCUUUCUCUUGUUUACUUGUGAUCGUGUCCUUUUCUGUUACCCCUUUGUAUAUAUGGUCUGCAUUGUGAGGAAGUUAAAUUAAUGGUGGCUUGGAUCUAUAAUAAUUUGUCCUAAAUGUUUCACUUGUUAUGCAGUGAAACUCUC